This 300-nucleotide ribosomal RNA is filed under the name uncultured bacterium. Its description in RNAcentral is "bacterial SSU rRNA". It matches the Rfam family "Bacterial small subunit ribosomal RNA", at positions 333 to 630 of the family's 1533-position model. The record is from RNAcentral.
GUGCGCCUACGGGACGCAGCAGUGACGAAUAUUGGUCAAUGGGCGGGAGCCUGAACCAGCCAAGUCGCGUGAGGGAAGACGGUCCUAUGGAUUGUAAACCUCUUUAGGCGGGGAGCAAUGCCGGGCACGUGUGCCCGGAGGGAGAGUACCCGCAGAAUAAGCAUCGGCUAACUCCGUGCCAGCAGCCGCGGUAAUACGGAGGAUGCGAGCGUUAUCCGGAUUUAUUGGGUUUAAAGGGUGCGUAGGCGGAUUUUUAAGUCAGCGGUAAAAUGUCCGGGCUCACCCCGGGCCGGCCGUUGA